Molecule: non-coding RNA, 620 nt
Filed under: Macrophomina phaseolina MS6
Lineage: Eukaryota; Fungi; Ascomycota; Dothideomycetes; Botryosphaeriales; Botryosphaeriaceae
Description: Eukaryotic small subunit ribosomal RNA
Rfam family: Eukaryotic small subunit ribosomal RNA
Source: Rfam by way of RNAcentral
UACCUGGUUGAUUCUGCCAGUAGUCAUAUGCUUGUCUCAAAGAUUAAGCCAUGCAUGUCUAAGUAUAAGCAAUCUAUACUGUGAAACUGCGAAUGGCUCAUUAAAUCAGUUAUCGUUUAUUUGAUAGUACCUUACUACUUGGAUAACCGUGGUAAUUCUAGAGCUAAUACAUGCUAAAAACCGCGACUUCGGAAGCGGUGUAUUUAUUAGAUAAAAAACCAAUGCCCUUCGGGGCUCCUUGGUGAUUCAUGAUAACUUAACGAAUCGCAUGGCCUUGCGCCGGCGAUGGUUCAUUCAAAUUUCUGCCCUAUCAACUUUCGAUGGUAGGAUAGUGGCCUACCAUGGUAUCAACGGGUAACGGGGAAUUAGGGUUCUAUUCCGGAGAGGGAGCCUGAGAAACGGCUACCACAUCCAAGGAAGGCAGCAGGCGCGCAAAUUACCCAAUCCCGACACGGGGAGGUAGUGACAAUAAAUACUGAUACAGGGCUCUUUUGGGUCUUGUAAUUGGAAUGAGUACAAUUUAAAUACCUUAACGAGGAACAAUUGGAGGGCAAGUCUGGUGCCAGCAGCCGCGGUAAUUCCAGCUCCAAUAGCGUAUAUUAAAGUUGUUGCAGUUAAAA